CCUACGGUAGGCAGCAGUGAGGAAUAUUGGUCAAUGGACGAAAGUCUGAACCAGCCAAGUAGCGUGAAGGAUGACUGCCCUAUGGGUUGUAAGCUUCUUUUAUAUGGGAAUAAAAUGUUCCACGUGUGGAAUUUUGUAUGUACCCUAUGAAUAAGGAUCGGCUAACUCCGUGCCAGCAGCCGCGGUAAUACGGAGGAUCCGAGCGUUAUCCGGAUUUAUUGGGUUUAAAGGGAGCGUAGGUGGAUUGUUAAGUCAGUUGUGAAAGUUUGCGGCUCAACCGUAAAAUUGCAGUUGAAACUGGCAGACUUGAGUGCAGUAGAGGUGGGCGGAAUUCGUGGUGUAGCGGUGAAAUGCUUAGAUAUCACGAAGAACUCCGAUUGCGAAGGCAGCUCACUGGACUGAAACUGACACUGAGGCUCGAAAGUGUGGGUAUCAAACAGGAUUAGAUACCCGUGUAGUC
RNAcentral lists this ribosomal RNA (460 nucleotides) under uncultured bacterium. Its description in RNAcentral is "partial 16S ribosomal RNA". It matches the Rfam family "Bacterial small subunit ribosomal RNA", at positions 338 to 795 of the family's 1533-position model. The record is from RNAcentral.